AUUGAACGCUGGCGGAAUGCUUUACACAUGCAAGUCGAACGGUAGGGGGGCAGCCCCUCGAGAGUGGCGAACGGGGGAGGAAUAUAUCGGAAAGUGCCCAGUCGGGGGGGAUAACGUAGCGAAAGGUACGCUAAUAACGCAUACGAUCCAAGGAUGAAAGCGGGGGGUCGCAAGACCUCGCGGGAAUGGAGCGGCCGAUAUCAGAUUAGGUAGUUGGGUGGGUAAAGGCUCACCAAGCCAACGCUCUGUAGCGGGUCUGAGAGGACGACCAGCCACACUGGAACUGAGACACGGUCCAGACUCCUACGGGAGGCAGCAGUGGGGAAUUUUGGACAAUGGACGCAAGUCUGAUCCAGCCAUUCCGCGUGCAGGAUGAAGGCCCUCGGGUUGUAAACUGCUUUUGUACGGAACGAAAAGGUCUCUCUUAAUACGGGGGACUCAUGACGGUACCGUAAGAAUAAGCACCGGCUAACUACGUGCCAGCCGCCGCCGUAA
This 495-nucleotide ribosomal RNA is filed under the name uncultured bacterium. RNAcentral's name for it is "partial 16S ribosomal RNA". It matches the Rfam family "Bacterial small subunit ribosomal RNA", at positions 29 to 523 of the family's 1533-position model. The record is from RNAcentral.